Molecule: ribosomal RNA, 491 nt
Filed under: uncultured bacterium
Lineage: Bacteria
Description: partial 16S ribosomal RNA
Rfam family: Bacterial small subunit ribosomal RNA
Source: RNAcentral
AGUGAACGCUGGCGGUAGGCCUAACACAUGCAAGUCGAACGGCAGCACAGUAAGAGCUUGCUCUUACGGGUGGCGAGUGGCGGACGGGUGAGGAAUACAUCGGAAUCUACUUUUUCGUGGGGGAUAACGUAGGGAAACUUACGCUAAUACCGCAUACGACCUACGGGUGAAAGCAGGGGAUCUUCGGACCUUGCGCGAUUGAAUGAGCCGAUGUCGGAUUAGCUAGUUGGCGGGGUAAAGGCCCACCAAGGCGACGAUCCGUAGCUGGUCUGAGAGGAUGAUCAGCAAACUUGAAACGGAGACAGGGUCAAGACUCUUAGGGGAGGCAGCAGUGGGGAAUAUUGGACAAGGGGCGCAAGCCUGACCCAGCCAUCCCGGGUGGGUGAAGAAGGCCUUCGGGUUGUAAAGCCCUUUUGUGGGGAAAGAAAAGCAGCAGGUUAAUACCCCGCUGUUCUGACGGUACCCAAAGAAUAAGCACCGCCUAACUUCGU